Vicia faba (fava bean) is the source of this 366-nucleotide non-coding RNA. NCBI's taxonomy places the organism in Eukaryota, Viridiplantae, Streptophyta, Magnoliopsida, Fabales, Fabaceae. The record is from the annotation of a GenBank genome assembly.
AUGCUACAACUUCAAUUCAAUUCUUUGUUCAAGAAACAACCUCUAUACAACAUUCUCAACCAUACUUUAACCAAUUCCACACUUAUGAAACAUUAUAGAAUCAAGUGCAACCUCUACAAUUUAAUCUCAAGUGAAAAUCACCUCUUAAGCAAUUUGUCAAACACCUACAUUACACCAAUUUUGACUCAUGAAUUAUGCAAAAAACAACCAAAUAAUAACUCAAGCAUUUCAACAAACACCAUGGCUUCAAGAAUUUGCAACUCAUGUUCUCAAAUAAAAUUCAAUCACAACUUCAAUUAUAUUUCAAUUAGAUGUUCAAUUCAAUUCACAAUUUCAACAUUAACUCAAUUCACAACUUCACCUUAA